Molecule: long non-coding RNA, 564 nt
Organism: Lagenorhynchus albirostris (white-beaked dolphin)
Lineage: Eukaryota; Metazoa; Chordata; Mammalia; Artiodactyla; Delphinidae
Exons: 3
Source: RefSeq, a predicted model, not a curated record
CCCCUCCGAAUUCUUGGAACUGGAUGCCACGUAUGACAGCAGGGUCACCAACUCCACCUUGUGAAUGGUCUCGUCCAGGACGGACAUGAUCCUCUUGGUCUCGAUGGUGAGAACCCAUGUUUCAUGGAUGACAUUUGGCUUGCAGAAGGUUCCGGGGCUGGAGCUGAAGCAGUGAACACUGCAGGCGUCUGCUGGAUCAAGGAGGAAAAUGUAUUUCUUUGUCUGGCUUGUGGUUAAAAAAAAAAGGGACUUCCCUGGUGGCGCAGUGGUUAGGAAUCCACCUGCCAGUGCAGGAGACACGGGUUUGAUCCCUGGUCCGGGAAGACCCCACAUGCCGCGGAGCAACUAAUCCCGUGUGCCACAACUACUGAGCCUGCGCUCUAGAGCCUGCAAGCCACAACUACUGAAGCCCACGCGGCUAGAGCCCAUGCUCCGCAACAAGAGAAGCCACGCAAUGAGAAGGCCGUGCACCGCAACAAACAGCAGCCCCCGCUCGCCGCAACUAGAGAAAGCCCGUGCGCAGCAACAAAUACCCAACGCAGCCAAAAAGACAAAAACAAAAAC